Molecule: ribosomal RNA, 1412 nt
Filed under: Leptolyngbya sp. CENA534
Lineage: Bacteria; Bacillati; Cyanobacteriota; Cyanophyceae; Leptolyngbyales; Leptolyngbyaceae
Also listed under: 1 other name
Description: bacterial SSU rRNA
Rfam family: Bacterial small subunit ribosomal RNA
Source: RNAcentral
GAUGAACGCUGGCGGUAUGCUUAACACAUGCAAGUCGAACGGGCUCUUCGGAGCUAGUGGCGGACGGGUGAGUAACGCGUGAGAACAUGCCUUUAGAUUGGGGACAACAGUUGGAAACGACUGCUAAUACCGAAUGUGCCUUAGGGUGAAAGAUUAAUUGUCUAGAGAUUGGCUCGCGUCAGAUUAGCUAGUUGGAGUGGUAACGGCACACCAAGGCGACGAUCUGUACUUGGUCUGAGAGGAUGACCAGGCACACUGGAACUGAGACACGGUCCAGACUCCUACGGGAGGCAGCAGUGGGGAAUUUUCCGCAAUGGGCGAAAGCCUGACGGAGCAAUACCGCGUGAGGGAGGACGGCUUUUGGGUUGUAAACCUCUUUUAUCAGGGAAGAAUCGAUGACGGUACCUGAUGAAUCAGCAUCGGCUAACUCCGUGCCAGCAGCCGCGGUAAUACGGAGGAUGCAAGCGUUAUCCGGAAUUAUUGGGCGUAAAGCGUCCGUAGGUGGUUUAUCAAGUCUGCUGUCAAAGCGUGCGGCUUAACCGCAUAAGGGCAGUGGAAACUGAUGAACUAGAGUGCGAUAGGGGUAACAGGAAUUCCCAGUGUAGCGGUGAAAUGCGUAGAUAUUGGGAAGAACACCAGCGGCGAAAGCGUGUUACUGGGUCUGCACUGACACUGAGGGACGAAAGCUAGGGGAGCGAAAGGGAUUAGAUACCCCUGUAGUCCUAGCCGUAAACGAUGACAACUAGGCGUGGUUCGUAUCGACCCGAGCCGUGCCGUAGCCAACGCGUUAAGUUGUCCGCCUGGGGAGUACGCACGCAAGUGUGAAACUCAAAGGAAUUGACGGGGGCCCGCACAAGCGGUGGAGUAUGUGGUUUAAUUCGAUGCAACGCGAAGAACCUUACCAAGGCUUGACAUCCUCGGAACCCUGAUGAAAGUUAGGGGUGCCUUCGGGAGCCGAGAGACAGGUGGUGCAUGGCUGUCGUCAGCUCGUGUCGUGAGAUGUUGGGUUAAGUCCCGCAACGAGCGCAACCCACGUUUUUAGUUGCCAGCAUUCAGUUGGGCACUCUAGAGAGACUGCCGGUGACAAACCGGAGGAAGGUGUGGAUGACGUCAAGUCAGCAUGCCCCAUACGCCUUGGGCUACACACGUACUACAAUGCGUCGGACAAAGAGCAGCCAGCCAGCGAUGGUGAGCCAAUCUCAUAAACCGACGCUCAGUUCAGAUUGCAGGCUGCAACUCGCCUGCAUGAAGGCGGAAUCGCUAGUAAUCGCAGGUCAGCAUACUGCGGUGAAUACGUUCCCGGGCCUUGUACACACCGCCCGUCACACCAUGGGAGUUGGUCACGCCCGAAGUCGUUACUCUAACUGCUUGCAGAGGAGGACGCCGAAGGUGGGGCUGAUGACUGGGGUGAA